Molecule: microRNA, 22 nt
Filed under: Heliconius melpomene (postman butterfly)
Lineage: Eukaryota; Metazoa; Arthropoda; Insecta; Lepidoptera; Nymphalidae
Description: hme-miR-2797
Source: miRBase by way of RNAcentral
AUAAGUAGACCAUGUCCGGCUU